RNAcentral lists this unclassified non-coding RNA (376 nucleotides) under soil metagenome. RNAcentral's name for it is "partial contains 5.8S ribosomal RNA, internal transcribed spacer 2, and large subunit ribosomal RNA". The stretch from base 1 to 120 matches the Rfam family "5.8S ribosomal RNA", at positions 35 to 154 of the family's 154-position model. The record is from RNAcentral.
GAUGAAGAACGUAGCGAAAUGCGAUAAGUAAUGUGAAUUGCAGAAUUCAGUGAAUCAUCGAAUCUUUGAACGCAUCUUGCGCUCCUUGGUAUUCUGAGGAGCAUGCCUGUUUGAGUGUCAUUAAAUUCUCAACUACACUGACUUUGAAUUGGUGUGGCUUGGAUUUGGGGGGAAAAUUGUUGUGGGCUUUUUGUAUAGUCUGCUCCCCUGAAAUUGAUUAGUGGUACCUUUGUGGAACUGUCUACAGGUGUGAUAAUUAUCUACAUCUUAGACAUCUGCUGGAAUGCUGCUUUCUAAACCUUACUUGUAUUGACAAUCUUGACCUCAAAUCAGGUAGGACUACCCGCUGAACUUAAGCAUAUCAAUAAGCGGAGGA